ACUCCUACGGGAGGCAGCAGUGGGGAAUAUUGCACAAUGGGCGCAAGCCUGAUGCAGCGACGCCGCGUGGGGGAUGAAGGCCUUCGGGUUGUAAACUCCUUUCGCUAGGGACGAAGCUUUUUUGUGACGGUACCUAGAUAAGAAGCACCGGCUAACUACGUGCCAGCAGCCGCGGUAAUACGUAGGGUGCGAGCGUUGUCCGGAAUUACUGGGCGUAAAGGGCUCGUAGGUGGUUUGUCGCGUCGUCUGUGAAAUUCUGGGGCUUAACUCCGGGCGUGCAGGCGAUACGGGCAUAACUUGAGUGCUGUAGGGGUAACUGGAAUUCCUGGUGUAGCGGUGAAAUGCGCAGAUAUCAGGAGGAACACCGAUGGCGAAGGCAGGUUACUGGGCAGUUACUGACGCUGAGGAGCGAAAGCAUGGGUAGCGAACAGGAUUAGAUACCCCGGUAGUCCCAU
RNAcentral lists this ribosomal RNA (455 nucleotides) under uncultured organism. Its description in RNAcentral is "partial 16S ribosomal RNA". It matches the Rfam family "Bacterial small subunit ribosomal RNA", at positions 335 to 798 of the family's 1533-position model. The record is from RNAcentral.